CGUUAAACUUCUGCAGAUGCAAACUGAAGUCAUGUCAGAUGUGAUCACUGAAGGAACUGUGUGCCCUGAAAUUUCACAAGAAGACAUUCCCCGCAGCUCUCUGAAUGCCCAUUGGGACACAAGAUGUUGCUUAUUCCAACACUUGUGACUGAAUUUGCAUUAAAGGCAAACUUGGAAGAGGAGCAAAAGGUGGCUGCAGUGUUGUUGAGAGAUGUUGGAAUAGAUAAAUCACUGCCCUUUCUGCAAUAAGUACCUGUUCUUCUGAGAGAUUUAUAAACAAGAAGGUAGCUUGAUCAAAAAAAUAUUUUAAAAUAAAUAGACAGAAU
Molecule: long non-coding RNA, 326 nt
Organism: Pipra filicauda (Wire-tailed manakin)
Lineage: Eukaryota; Metazoa; Chordata; Aves; Passeriformes; Pipridae
Exons: 3
Source: RefSeq, a predicted model, not a curated record